UGGGGAAUUUUGGACAAUGGGGGAAACCCUGAUCCAGCCAUCCCGCGUGUGCGAUGAAGGCCUUCGGGUUGUAAAGCACUUUUGGCAGGAAAGAAACGUCAUGGGUUAAUACCCCGUGAAACUGACGGUACCUGCAGAAUAAGCACCGGCUAACUACGUGCCAGCAGCCGCGGUACUACGUAGGGUGCAAGCGUUAAUCGGAAUUACUGGGCGUAAAGCGUGCGCAGGCGGUUCGGAAAGAAAGAUGUGAAAUCCCAGAGCUCAACUUUGGAACUGCAUUUUUAACUACCGGGCUAGAGUGUGUCAGAGGGAGGUGGAAUUCCGCGUGUAGCAGUGAAAUGCGUAGAUAUGCGGAGGAACACCGAUGGCGAAGGCAGCCUCCUGGGAUAACACUGACGCUCAUGAACGAAAGCGUGGGGAGCAAACAGG
Molecule: ribosomal RNA, 429 nt
Filed under: Acidobacteriota bacterium
Lineage: Bacteria; Pseudomonadati; Acidobacteriota
Description: Acidobacteria bacterium partial 16S ribosomal RNA
Rfam family: Bacterial small subunit ribosomal RNA
Source: RNAcentral